CCUGGUGGCGAGUGGCGAACGGGUGAGUAAUACAUCGGAACGUGUCUAUAAGUGGGGGAUAACGCAUCGAAAGGUGUGCUAAUACCGCAUACGAUCUACGGAUGAAAGCGGGGGAUCGCAAGACCUCGCGCGAUUGGAGCGGCCGAUAUCUGAUUAGGUAGUUGGUAGGGUAAAGGCCUACCAAGCCGACGAUCAGUAGCUGGUCUGAGAGGACGAUCAGCCACACUGGAACUGAGACACGGUCCAGACUCC
RNAcentral lists this ribosomal RNA (252 nucleotides) under uncultured bacterium. Its description in RNAcentral is "partial 16S ribosomal RNA". It matches the Rfam family "Bacterial small subunit ribosomal RNA", at positions 84 to 339 of the family's 1533-position model. The record is from RNAcentral.